AUUAAAGAGUUCUAUAACUCCCAAACCCAUGUGAACAUACCUAACGUUGCCUCGGCAGGUCGCACCUACCUUGUAGCACCCUACCCUGUAGGGCCUACCCGGGAGGUGCGGGUAAGCCUGCCGGCGGCCCACCAAACUCUGUUUGAUAUUGAAUUCUGAACCUAUAACUAAAAUAAGUUAAAACUUUCAACAACGGAUCUCUUGGUUCUGGCAUCGAUGAAGAACGCAGCGAAAUGCGAUAAGUAAUGUGAAUUGCAGAAUUCAGUGAAUCAUCGAAUCUUUGAACGCAUAUUGCGCCCAUUAGUAUUCUAGUGGGCAGGACCGUUCGAGCGUCAUUUCAACCCUUAAGCCUUCGUUGCUUAGUGUUGGGAGCCUACGGCAACGUAGCUCCUCAAAGUUAGUGGCGGAGUUGGUUCACACUCUAGACGUAGUAAUUUUUUAUCUCGCCUAUUAGUUGGACUAAUCCCCUGCCGUAAAACCCCCAAUUUAUCAAGGUUGACCUCGAAUCGGUUCAGACAAACUCGCUAAAUUGAAGCAUCUUAGUCAGCGAAGGAAAAGAAACCAACAGGGAUUGCCCUAGUAACGGCGAGUGAAGCGGCAACAGCUCAAAUUUGAAAUC
This 619-nucleotide ribosomal RNA is filed under the name fungal endophyte. Its description in RNAcentral is "eukaryotic LSU rRNA". The stretch from base 182 to 335 matches the Rfam family "5.8S ribosomal RNA". Lineage: Eukaryota; Fungi. The record is from RNAcentral.